RNAcentral lists this long non-coding RNA (2821 nucleotides) under Homo sapiens (human). Its description in RNAcentral is "HSALNT0389928". The record is from RNAcentral. Lineage: Eukaryota; Metazoa; Chordata; Mammalia; Primates; Hominidae.
GACAAAUUUUUCCAGAUCUCUGUUUGUGGUGAGGUGUAAUUAUGUGUGUUUUUCCUAGCUUAGUGUGUGCGUUCUUUCUUUUUGUUUCUGAGAAUGCUGUGUUGAGGGGGUUUUUGGAGAAAACGGUGGGGUUGGGAGGUUGUAGUACUUCAAACAAAGGUGAACGAUUUUUUAGGUGAGUGAGCGUUGUGUUUUAAAGGUUAUACUUUGUUAUAUUCACGUUCUUAUUGCGUUAUAUCAUGCUUCAGAAUUGGUCGUCAAUAUCCUUGUCUAGGUGAGAGUAUGUGUGACCAGCCCCCUCCCCGCCUUUUUUUUUUUUUUUUUUUGUCUUAUAGAGUGUCACUUUUGUCAUCCAGGCUGGAGUGCAGUGGCGGGAUGAGAGUUCACUAUGAUCUCGACUUCCUGGACUCAGAUGGUUCUCCCACUUCAGCUUCCGGAUCUAAUAUUUCAAUAAUUUCAAGAACACUGCAUUCAUUCCUCUCCACAUGAGCAAUUGCCAAAAGUAGGCUUUACAUUUUUGCUCGUUUUCUUUUGGGUCUGUGGCUAGUCUCCACUUCCUUUUUUUUUUUUUUUUUUUUUUUUUUUUUUUUAAGAUAGUCUCACUCUGUCCCCCACAACCCCCAACCCCGGCUGGAGUGCAGUGGCCAGAUCUGGGCUUACUGCAACCUCUGCCUCCCAAGUUCAGGUGAUUCUUGUGCCUCAGCCUCCUGAGUAGCUGGGAUUACAGGCACGUGCCCACCAUGACUGGCUAAUUUUUUGCAUUUUUAGUAGAGACGGGGUUUUGCCAUGUUGGCCAGGUUGGUCUCGAACGCCUGGCCUCAAAGUGAUCCACCCGUUUGGGCCUCCCAAAGUGCUGGGAUUACAGGCCUGAGUUACUGCACCCGGCCUGUCCCCGAAAUUCGAUUGCAGCCGGCGAUAAAGCUUUUUUUUACCCCGCUUCUCGGCAAAGCGUUGUGUUUUUAUUUUAGCAGACUCACCUGGCACUAAGGACUGCUCUGGUGGUCUUCGGAGGCUCCUGGGAUCGACUGCUUGGACAGAGGUGACAUCACCCAAUUAGUGAGAGCCAAGACCUAAGGCUGCAGCUGCCUUCCAGGUAUCUGCCACUCACUGUAGAACGAUCCCACAGUUCUGCAUUUCUGCCCUAUGCCCGCCAGUCACAAGAAGCUCCGGUCUCUUAUCCCAUGUCUGAUUCCUGAAACCUUGCUAAUUUUCCUACCAUCCUCCCUAUUCCCAGCCUCCUUUCUUCUUCUUCUUCUUCUUCUUCUUUUUUUUUUUUUUUUGAGGCUGAGUUUCACUCUUGUUGCCUAGGCUGGAGUGCAAUGGUGCGAUCUCGGCUCACUGCAACCUCCACCUCCUGGGUUCAAGCGAUUCUCCUGCCUCAGCCUCCAGAGUAGCUGGGAUUACAGGCAUGUGCCACCACGCCCGGCUAAAUUUUUUUUGUAUUUUUAGUAGAGAUGGGGUUUCUCCAUGAUGGUCAGGCUGGUCUCAAACUGCCAAACUCAGGUGAUCCACCCGCACUGGCCUCCCAAAGUGCUGGGAUUACAGGUGUGAGCCACUGUGCCCGGCCCCCCUUUCUUCGUUUGCUCUAUCCUCCCGCUGAAGACAUUGCUUUCCUCUUUCUGUUUGCUCUCCCCACCUCUCACUCCAUUGUGCCUUGCACCUGUGCUGCCCACUACCUCUCCUUGUUGCUGUUGUCUCUCCUGGCUGCUGGUCACUCCAUGCCAACACUUACUUUAUUCCUUGAAGGUUUUUAGCUCCUGGAGCACUGACUUUCUCCAGCAUAACUCCUGUCAUCAAUCGACACCCUGGUUCCCCAAUUCCUUGACCUCAGCUUUGACUACCCCAGCCACUCACUUCCCUGGUCUAACCCUAGGUCAUGUCAUUGUCGAUUGCCAUAACCCCAUCCACUUCGAGGGUCACACUCUCCAAUCACCUCUACCAUCCCUCCCUCUGCUACCCUUUGGUACCUGUCACCCCACUCCCCACCCCCUCAACCCGCAUCCCCAAAGUCCUUGGGCCCACCUCCAACUAAUCUAACUGCACCAACUCUAACAAACUGCACCUGUGUCACUGAGUGUAACUGGUGGAAGCUGACUGGGCUCACCUUAACCCUGGGCAAGCUGGGGGAAAAUAGACAUCCCACAUUUGCUACCUGGGGCCCAAUAAGUCUGCAUUAGUCUGUGCUCGUGCUGCUAAUAAAAACAUACCGGAGACUGGGUAAUUUAUAAAGAAAAAGAGGUUUAAUGGACUCACAGUUCCACGUGGCUGGGGAAGCCUCACAAUCAUGGUGGAAGGUGAAAGGCAUGUCUUACAUGGUGGAAGGUGAGAGAGAACUUGUGCAAGGGAACUCCCCUUUAUAAAACCAUCAGAUCUUGUGAGACUUAUUCACUAUCAUGAGAACAAUAUGGAAAAGUCCUGGCCCCAUGAUUCAAUUACCUCCCACUGGGUCCCUCCCAUGACACGUGGGAAUUAUGGGAGCUACAAUUCAAGAUGAGACUUGGGUGGGGACACAGCCAAACCAUAUCAUUUUGCUGUAGCCCCUCCCAAAUCUCAUGUCCUCACAUUUCAAAACCUAUCAUGCCUUCCCAACAGUCUCCCAAAGUCUUAUUUCAGCAUUAACUCAAAAGUCUACAGUCCAAAGUCUCAUCUGAGACAAGGCAAGUCCCUUCCGCCUACCAGCCUGUACAAUCAAAAGCAAGUUAGGGUCGGGCAUGGUGGCUCAUGCCUGUGAUCCCAGCACUUUGGGAGGCCAAGGCAGGCAGAUCAUCUGAGUUCGGGAGUUUGAGACCAGUCUGGCCAACAUAGUGAAACCCCAUCUCUA